RNAcentral lists this ribosomal RNA (464 nucleotides) under uncultured bacterium. RNAcentral describes it as "partial 16S ribosomal RNA". It matches the Rfam family "Bacterial small subunit ribosomal RNA", at positions 28 to 507 of the family's 1533-position model. The record is from RNAcentral.
GACGAACGCUGGCGGCGUGCUUAACACAUGCAAGUCGAACGGAAAGGCCCUGCUUUUGUGGGGUGCUCGAGUGGCGAACGGAUGAGUAACACGUGAGUAACCUGCCCUUGACUUUGGGAUAACUUCAGGAAACUGGGGCUAAUACCGGAUAGGAGCUCCUGCUGCAAGGUGGGGGUUGGAAAGAUUCGUCGGUUGGGGAUGGACCUGCGUCGUAUCAGCUUGUUGGUGGGGUAGUGGCUCACCAAGGCGACGACCAGUAGCCGGACUGGGAGGGUGAACGGCCACAUUGGAACUGAGACACGGUCCAAACUCCUACGGGAGGAAGCAGUGGGGAAUAUUGCACAAUGGGGGAAACCCUGAUGCAGCAACGACGCGUGAACGAUGAAGGCCUUUGGGUCGUAAAGUUCUGUUAUAGGUGAUGAGAACUGACAGUAACCUAGGAGAAAGCCCCGGCUAACUCCGUG